UUUCUGUUCUACCCUCUACAUGCCCUCUCCUAUUCCCUCCUCCUCAUUCUAGGGAGGGGAGAGGGGCUGGAGACUGAGUUCACCCACCAAUGGCCAAUGAUUUAAUCAAUCAUGUCUACAUAAAGAAGUCUCCACAAAAACCCUAACUGACGGAAUUCAGAGAGCUUCUAGAUUGGUCAAUCACUAGAUGUGGUCUCUCACUGGCAACAUUAGCAGUGGACUUUGUAUGAUCACAGGCCAUGAUGAAGAAAACAACACAAUAUUAAACCAAGCACAAGAGAAAAUGAUGCAAUCAAGAGAUACAGUAAACACAGGAUGUAUGAGGCUGCUGCCGACAUACACAGCAUACUGCUUUAAAGUAAAUUUUUUUAAUUGACGCAAGAGUUGAGAGAGAAGUCUGAAUAGCCCUUCUAUUUGGCUGCCGCAAAUUUCUGAGAAUAAUGGACUUUCUUCUCUUCUGCCUUCCAAAUCACUCAAGCUCUUCUCGUUGGCAAUCUCCAACCAUACAGAGAAAGGAAGCCAUAUAAAAUCCAUUCAAGGAGAGAUAUUCUGGGAAAUGUAGGGGUUUGGUUUGGGGUUUUUGGGGUUUUUUUUUUGCAUAGGGGAGAAAUUAAUUUGUACUCUUCUUACAAUUGUUUUCUAAGUUGGAAAUCAUUGUAAAAUAAAAAGUUUAAG
RNAcentral lists this long non-coding RNA (675 nucleotides) under Equus caballus (horse). Its description in RNAcentral is "lncRNA (ENSECAG00000058186.1)". Lineage: Eukaryota; Metazoa; Chordata; Mammalia; Perissodactyla; Equidae. The record is from RNAcentral.